ACGAACGCUGGCGGCGUGCUUAACACAUGCAAGUCGAGCGGUAAGGCCCUUCGGGGUACACGAGCGGCGAACGGGUGAGUAACACGUGAGCAACCUGCCCCUGACUCCGGGAUAAGCGGUGGAAACGCCGUCUAAUACCGGAUACGACCCGCCACCUCAUGGUGGAGGGUGGAAAGUUUUAUCGGUCAGGGAUGGGCUCGCGGCCUAUCAGCUUGUUGGUGGGGUAACGGCCUACCAAGGCGAUUACGGGUAGCCGGCCUGAGAGGGCGACCGGCCACACUGGGACUGAGACACGGCCCAGACUCCUGCGGGAGGCAGCAGUGGGGAAUAUUGCAGCAAUGGGCGAAAGCCUGAUGCAGCGACGCCGCGUGGGGGAUGACGGCCUUCGGGUUGUAAACCUCUUUUACCACCAACGCAGGCUCCACGUUCUCGUGGGGUUGACGGUAGGUGGGGAAUAAGGACCGGCUAACUACGUGCCAGCAGCCGCGGUAAUACGUAGGGUCCGAGCGUUGUCCGGAAUUAUUGGGCGUAAAGAGCUCGUAGGCGGCAUGUCGCGUCUGCUGUGAAAGACCGGGGCUUAACUCCGGUUCUGCAGUGGAUACGGGCAUGCUAGAGGUAGGUAGGGGAGACUGGAAUUCCUGGUGUAGCGGUGAAAUGCGCAGAUAUCAGGAGGAACACCGGUGGCGAAGGCGGGUCUCUGGGCCUUACCUGACGCUGAGGAGCGAAAGCAUGGGGAGCGAACAGGAUUAGAUACCCUGGUAGUCCAUGCCGUAAACGUUGGGCGCUAGGUGUGGGGACUUUCCACGGUUUCCGCGCCGUAGCUAACGCAUUAAGCGCCCCGCCUGGGGAGUACGGCCGCAAGGCUAAAACUCAAAGGAAUUGACGGGGGCCCGCACAAGCGGCGGAGCAUGUUGCUUAAUUCGACGCAACGCGAAGAACCUUACCAAGGUUUGACAUCACCCGUGGACCUGUAGAGAUACAGGGUCAUUUAGUUGGUGGGUGACAGGUGGUGCAUGGCUGUCGUCAGCUCGUGUCGUGAGAUGUUGGGUUAAGUCCCGCAACGAGCGCAACCCUUGUUCCAUGUUGCCAGCACGUAAUGGUGGGGACUCAUGGGAGACUGCCGGGGUCAACUCGGAGGAAGGUGGGGACGACGUCAAGUCAUCAUGCCCCUUAUGUCUUGGGCUGCAAACAUGCUACAAUGGCCGGUACAAUGGGCGUGCGAUACCGUAAGGUGGAGCGAAUCCCUUAAAGCCGGUCUCAGUUCGGAUUGGGGUCUGCAACUCGACCCCAUGAAGGUGGAGUCGCUAGUAAUCGCGGAUCAGCAACGCCGCGGUGAAUACGUUCCCGGGCCUUGUACACACCGCCCGUCACGUCAUGAAAGUCGGCAACACCCGAAACUUGUGGCCUAACCCUUCGGGGAGGGAAUGAGUGAAGGUGGGGCUGGCGAUUGGGACGAAGUCGUAACAG
RNAcentral lists this ribosomal RNA (1467 nucleotides) under Nocardiopsis sp. AB240d. RNAcentral's name for it is "bacterial SSU rRNA". It matches the Rfam family "Bacterial small subunit ribosomal RNA". Lineage: Bacteria; Bacillati; Actinomycetota; Actinomycetes; Streptosporangiales; Nocardiopsidaceae. The record is from RNAcentral.